This is a long non-coding RNA of Pogoniulus pusillus (Red-fronted tinkerbird), 385 nucleotides long. RefSeq lists it as uncharacterized. The record is from RefSeq and is a predicted model, not a curated record. NCBI's taxonomy places the organism in Eukaryota, Metazoa, Chordata, Aves, Piciformes, Lybiidae. The transcript has 3 exons.
UGUUCCAACAGGUGGUAACGAUAUUGCUGCGAGCGUUCAUCAGUCGCAGGAGCUGGCAGCUGGCAGCCGUCACGCCGCGCAGCUGCUGUGGGAGACUGCUGCCUCCUGACCAGCUCCGCUCCGUGCUCAGCCAGGACGCCUGCCCCUGGGCACCUCUCCCGCUGUGGGGCCUCCCGAAGGGUCCCACCAGGCCUCGCCAUCAGCUUCGGUGCUCACCGGUGCAGCGUGCGGACCACAGCCAGCAGGUCAGGCUUGGCUUUUCCUGCACACGGACACGGAGCCUGCAGAGCCAGCCCAUGGUUAAACAUAAAUAAUUGAGCAAGAAAGAGAACAGUCUGCUCCCAACGAGAAGAGAGGAUCCAUCCACAACAGCCAUGAAGUACAG